GUGAAGGAAAGUCCAGCCAGCCUUCGUUUCCUGAUGAUACGGCAUAUCCACGGCCUGUUUUUAUUUGCAGGAGUUCACAGGCACUUACGCCAGCGGGAGGUGUGUUGAAGAUCUAAGUGGUACAACUGUAGUGCUUUUCAGUAACGAAGGCAAAAAUGCGUGUGUCAUAUGUUGAUUCUUCGGACAAUUUCAUGGAUGACAUUAAGCGUGCUGUGGUGAUGGUGUAAAUAACUUCAAGUGUUUGCACGUGACGGUCGUUAUGUGUCUGGUGCUGGUGCCACUGAAAUCGACUUGGCUUCCGAACUGGCUGUCUCCGCCGAUACCAUACCGGGUCUAGAACAGUACGCUGUACGUAGAUCUACGAUCAAGUCCUCGCACUUUCCAUCUACAAGGGACGUUUUUGGUUUCUGCGCAAGUUCAACGUCCCUACAUUUGCUCGAAUCAGUGCAGCGUUGCAAAACCCACACGAGCCGCUUUCCGCAAUUUUUCUUAAUGCAUUUGAUUAACGUAAAUCUAUGAAUUAUAUUAGCAAUAUAUGAAAUAUUUGUUUUAGACCAUAUUAAUACAUUUUCCCAACACUUACUAAUAUUAAGGACAAGUAUAUUAAGGUAAACAAACUUUAAACUAUAAACUACUACUCUUG
This is a long non-coding RNA of Anastrepha obliqua, 643 nucleotides long. RefSeq lists it as uncharacterized. The record is from RefSeq and is a predicted model, not a curated record. Lineage: Eukaryota; Metazoa; Arthropoda; Insecta; Diptera; Tephritidae. The transcript is spliced from 3 exons.